AGGUAAUUUGAUGUUUUAGAAACUGAAAGUUACCUCAUUUUUAAGUUUUUGCAAAGUAUUGAAUAGGAAAAGAAAGCUCUCAUUGAUUGGAAUGUUUUAAUGUCUUUUAUAUGUUGAAUUGAAAGUUUUUCUAUUAUGAUUAUCUUGCUUUCUCAUGGUAUUAUUAGAAAUUGCUCAGAUUCUAUUUUUCCCAAUGCUUAUAUAGUGAAGCAGAAUUUCUCAUAGCAGUUUUUCUAAUUAUGUCAGGUGGAUCAUUUGGGAGCAAGACUGAAAUGUUUGGUGAACAAGUUGAAGGAUGUAGAUGUAGUGCACUUAGAUUUGAAGUUCAGCAAAAACUCUUUUAGAGGAUCCAAUGUCCAAGUUUGAUGUUGCGGUUGAUAAUGGUACCAAGGCUCAAGAGAGUGAUGGCUGCCAAAUUUCCACUCUGAAUGAAAACAAGAGUCCAGCUAAGAGAAUUUCUUCAAGUGACACCAUCAACGGCAAUGAGACUCGAGCUCUUUCAAAGGUUUGCAACUUAACUAAUGUUAUUAUUCUAUUAAGUUGUUGUAUAGUUAUGUAAUACACUAAACAUUUUAGAUUUUCGCUUGACAUGACAUAAUGCCCAAGUUUGAUGAUGUGGAGUCUGCAAUUGGUACCAAGGCAGUUUAGUUCGAGACAAAUUAUUAACGUUUUAGUUCAAUUUUGCUGAAUAGUUAUGACAUAUUUUCAUACAUCUUUGGGACAAUGAAGUUUUAUUCGCCGGUUGUUUUGUUUGCAAACAGUAAACUUACCACUUUAUAAGUAAUUUGAUGUUUUAGAAACUGAAAGUUAGCUCAUUUUUAAGUAUUUGGUAUCUUCACUAAAAGUUUUUAUGUAGCUCUAUUUGAAGAAUCCUUUGAUAUUUCAUAUGUAGCUCUAUUUGAAGAAUCUGAGUUAUUAUCCUUUUACUAAUCUAAUUAAUUGGACUAUUAUUUUUUGAAGGAUUUAUUGCCUAAUUCUAUAAUUUAUUAAUUCCUAAUCAGUAACUUUAUUUUUGGUUUGUUUUCGUUACAUCUGUCAGACAAUGUUCUUCUUUGCGUUGGUUUGUUUUAUGUGGAAUUUUCAGUCACUCAUCAUGUAACUUUGUGAAAGAUUUUGUUUGUUCAUAUUUACAUUUAUCUAUCUUUGGUACUUUAAUUCAUGUCAUUUGAUUCAACCAUUUAUUUUGGACUUAUAUGAGUCAUGUAACUUGCUUAUUGUUGACCUUUUUUUCUUCUUAAUUGGAAGCAAUUGGAAUGAACCGUCAUAAAGAUAGAGAAGUUCAAAAUGAUUUUUUAACUAUAUUAGCACAUGCCUGGGUUUUGAAAUAGAAAUUGUUUGAUAUUAUUGGUUAAGUGGUAGUUACGAUUCAAUUCUAUUUCUUUUCUUUGUUGUUCUAUUUUGAGUCAUGGGGUUCAUAUUUUUUAAUUAAAUAUAUGAUGUGAAAUGGAUCCAUAUUUUUUUAAAAGGAACCUGAAUUCAAAUAUUUCCAGCCACCACAGUAUAGUUUAUUAGCACUAUGCAUGAAAAGUAACUUAGAGGAAGAGAGCAUUGAGGGAUGAGAAGAAUAAAAAAGAAUCGUAAAACUGAUUCAUAGUAUACGGAGGAUCAUUUAAUAUGUGUGUGUGGAGAGAUUAUUAUGUAAUGGUUUAAAAUUUUAAUUUGGAGUUAGACAAAAAUUAUGUAUUUUAGUGCUUUUAAGAAAACUAUGAUUUAUUAUGUACAAAAAAUUAGCAUAUUUAAGUUAGAGACUAUUUGUGGUACAUGUAAGGGAACGAAAAAUUCAUUGGUAGUAUAGUGUAAACAUUCACGUUGAAAAAGAACAAAGAGUUGUAGGCAGUACAUGUGUUAUCAUGAUUUGGCUUCUAUUCUACUUUAAUGCAUAAGGACAACUAAUUUUUAAUGCAAAUUGAAUUGAAUAUGAUAUAAAUGUCUGAUUACUUAUGGAUGCUGAAGGGAAUGAAUUUCGAGUUAUCU
Trifolium pratense (red clover) is the source of this 1974-nucleotide long non-coding RNA. RefSeq lists it as uncharacterized. The record is from RefSeq and is a predicted model, not a curated record. The transcript is spliced from 3 exons. Lineage: Eukaryota; Viridiplantae; Streptophyta; Magnoliopsida; Fabales; Fabaceae.